CAAACUAGAUUACAACUUAUUUUAGGCUACUUGGUGUGCAAUCUGGUGACACUGUAAACUUCCUCAGAUUGACAUUGUUGAUAGGAAGUUUUAGAUUUUCUAAAAUCUUCAAUAUACGAGUCAUAAGAGAUGAUCACGUGUGUUUGUAUUUCUUCUACAUAGUCAGCUUUGUAGAGAUUCAUAUUUUUCCAAUAAUGCUUACAUUUAG
Molecule: long non-coding RNA, 208 nt
Filed under: Olea europaea (common olive)
Lineage: Eukaryota; Viridiplantae; Streptophyta; Magnoliopsida; Lamiales; Oleaceae
Description: long non-coding RNA (OEUR_LNC009405)
Source: RNAcentral